Molecule: small nucleolar RNA, 106 nt
Filed under: Gossypium hirsutum (cotton)
Lineage: Eukaryota; Viridiplantae; Streptophyta; Magnoliopsida; Malvales; Malvaceae
Also listed under: 1 other name
Description: Plant small nucleolar RNA R71
Rfam family: Plant small nucleolar RNA R71
About the family: R71 is a member of the C/D box family of snoRNAs containing the C (UGAUGA) and D (CUGA) box motifs.
Source: Rfam by way of RNAcentral
AACCCGUGCAUCAGACAGUUUCGAAUUACAUCUUUAAAUCGUUCCCAAGCUUCAUAUAGUGUUUUAUCCUCCAUUGCCAAAAAGAUGUAAUGUCAUUUCUAAGCUU